GACGAACGCUGGCGGCGUGCUUAACACAUGCAAGUCGAACGGAAAGGCCCUGCUUUUGUGGGGUGCUCGAGUGGCGAACGGGUGAGUAUCACGUGAGUAACCUGCCCUUGACUGUGGGAUAACUUCAGGAAACUGGGGCUAUUACCGGAUAGGAUCUCCUGCUGCAUGUUGGGCGUUGGUAAGUUUCGGCGGUUGGGGAUGGACUCGCGGCUUAUCAGCUUGUUUGUGGGGUAGUUGCAUACCAGGCCUUUGACGGGUAGCCGGCCUGAGAGGGUUACCGGCCACAUUGGGACUGAGAUACGGAGCAGCCUCGUAUGGGAGGCAGCAGUGGGGAAUAUUGCAGAGUGGGCGGAAGUCUGAUGCAGAAAAGCCGCGUGCGGGAUGACGGGCUUCGGGUUGUGAACAGAUUUCGAAUGUGCCGAAGAGUGAGUGACGGUACUGGGUCAAGAAGCACCGGCUAACUACGUG
This 468-nucleotide ribosomal RNA is filed under the name uncultured bacterium. RNAcentral describes it as "partial 16S ribosomal RNA". It matches the Rfam family "Bacterial small subunit ribosomal RNA", at positions 28 to 507 of the family's 1533-position model. The record is from RNAcentral.